RNAcentral lists this ribosomal RNA (400 nucleotides) under uncultured bacterium. RNAcentral's name for it is "bacterial SSU rRNA". It matches the Rfam family "Bacterial small subunit ribosomal RNA", at positions 355 to 747 of the family's 1533-position model. The record is from RNAcentral.
UGGGGAAUUUUGGACAAUGGGCGAAAGCCUGAUCCAGCCAUUCCGCGUGAGUGAAGAAGGCCUUCGGGUUGUAAAGCUCUUUCGGCAGGAAAGAAACGGUCUGUGUUAAUACCAUGGGCUAAUGACGGUACCUGCAGAAGAAGCACCGGCUAACUACGUGCCAGCAGCCGCGGUAAUACGUAGGGUGCGAGCGUUAAUCGGAAUUACUGGGCGUAAAGCGUGCGCAGGCGGUUGUUUAAGACAGAUGUGAAAGCCCCGGGCUCAACCUGGGAAUUGCGUUUGUGACUGGACGACUAGAGUGCAACAGAGGGGGGUGGAAUUCCACGUGUAGCAGUGAAAUGCGUAGAGAUGUGGAGGAACACCGAUGGCGAAGGCAGCCCCCUGGGUUGACACUGACGCU